Molecule: long non-coding RNA, 215 nt
Filed under: Actinidia chinensis (golden kiwifruit)
Lineage: Eukaryota; Viridiplantae; Streptophyta; Magnoliopsida; Ericales; Actinidiaceae
Description: long non-coding RNA (ACHI_LNC007195)
Source: RNAcentral
UGUGAUUGGAGCAUCAGAUACGGAAAUACCAAUGUCUGUAGGGGAUGGAGGAUGGGUGAACACUAUAUCUUGAUUCUCAGAAAAAGGGUCAAUGCGAAUGAGAUCAGAUUUAGUCAAGUUAUGAGUACUAUCAAGAAUAGAGAAGAAAGGUAUAUGCUCAAGGAACACAACAUGACGGGACACAUAUAAUUUAUGAGUAACAGGAUCAAAACAAC